This 52-nucleotide transfer RNA is filed under the name Cannabis sativa. RNAcentral describes it as "tRNA-Ile". Lineage: Eukaryota; Viridiplantae; Streptophyta; Magnoliopsida; Rosales; Cannabaceae. RNAcentral also lists the same sequence under 1 other name. The record is from RNAcentral.
GGGCUAUUAGCUCAGUGGGGCGAGGUCUCUGGUUCAAGUCCAGGAUGGCCCA